UGUACCAGACACCAUUUCCAGCUCUUUGACCUCGAACGAACUCUCAUUGAUUAAGAUUCAGUACGGGGUUCCUCCGGAGUAUGAGCUUGAGCUUCUUGGGCCAACUGACCGGGCUAGCACCCCUCCCCCUGACCACUUUUGCUUAUACCAGGAAGCCUUCCGCGUCGGGCUUCGACUUCCACUUCCACCUUUUGUUGUUGCUCUUUUUCGCUUUUUAAACAUUUCUCUAGUUUCUGUAGUGCCAAACUCCUUUAGGUUUCUGAUAGGAUUUCUUUCC
This 277-nucleotide long non-coding RNA is filed under the name Elaeis guineensis (African oil palm). Its description in RNAcentral is "long non-coding RNA (EGUI_LNC078772)". The record is from RNAcentral. Lineage: Eukaryota; Viridiplantae; Streptophyta; Magnoliopsida; Arecales; Arecaceae.